Molecule: non-coding RNA, 569 nt
Organism: Gopherus evgoodei (Goodes thornscrub tortoise)
Lineage: Eukaryota; Metazoa; Chordata; Testudines; Testudinidae
Source: the annotation of a RefSeq genome assembly
UUCACCUCAUCGAGGUUCAGCUGCAGCCACUUCAUUCUGCAGCUGAGUCCCUGACAAUGAGCCUGGCCGCUUUGCUGCUGGUGCUGGCUCCAGGUUCGUUGGCCCAAUACACUGUGACCCAGGAGCCGUCCCAGGCCGCUGCCAAUGAAGGAGAACCCAUCCAGCUCAACUGCUCCUACAUGGGCACCGAGUACAGCGUUCAUUGGUACCGCCAGCCCCAGGGGGACCAGCCGCGGUUCCUGGCGCUCCUGUCCUCUAGUGGCAGAGAUGCCCGAGAGAAUUUCACCAUGAGCCUGGACACCAAAACCAAAAGCAGCUUCUUGUCCCUGAACAGCAGCCGCCUGGAAGACUCUGCUGUGUAUCUGUGCGCGCUGGAGCACAGUGCCAGGUGAGCACAGGCAGCCUGUCACAAAACCCUGGGAGGGGGCAGGGCACACGGACCCAAGAGAGGAGACAAGCAGAAGUUAGAACAGACCAGAGGAUAUGAGCCCAGAAGAGAAGAAAGGAAAGUAGAACAGAGUCAGCGAGAGGCAAUAAGAAUAGAACGGAACAGAAGAGAACACACUGGA